GAAGUGCACUUUCGGAGUCCCGUC
Molecule: non-coding RNA, 24 nt
Filed under: Arabidopsis thaliana (thale cress)
Lineage: Eukaryota; Viridiplantae; Streptophyta; Magnoliopsida; Brassicales; Brassicaceae
Source: RNAcentral